Myotis brandtii (Brandt's bat) is the source of this 76-nucleotide non-coding RNA. The record is from Rfam. NCBI's taxonomy places the organism in Eukaryota, Metazoa, Chordata, Mammalia, Chiroptera, Vespertilionidae.
GAGACACCCCUAUGGAGUAGGACUUGCUUCAGUGGGGCUUUGGUGCUCACUGAGUCUGCCCCUUGAGUGUGUCCCC